UACGUAGGGGGCAAGCGUUGUCCGGAUUUAUUGGGCGUAAAGAGCGUGUAGGCGGCCAGGUAGGUCCGUUGUGAAAACUCGAGGCUCAACCUCGAGACGUCGAUGGAAACCAUCUGGCUAGAGUCCGGAAGAGGAGAGUGGAAUUCCUGGUGUAGCGGUGAAAUGCGCAGAUAUCAGGAAGAACACCCGUGGCGAAGGCGGUUCUCUAGUACGGUACUGACGCUGAGACGCGAAAGCGUGGGGAGCGAACAGG
RNAcentral lists this ribosomal RNA (253 nucleotides) under uncultured bacterium. Its description in RNAcentral is "partial 16S ribosomal RNA". It matches the Rfam family "Bacterial small subunit ribosomal RNA", at positions 524 to 776 of the family's 1533-position model. The record is from RNAcentral.